GACGAACGCUGGCGGCGUGCUUAACACAUGCAAGUCGAACGGAAAGGCCCUGCUUGCAGGGUACUCGAGUGGCGAACGGGUGAGUAACACGUGGGUGAUCUGCCCUGCACUUCGGGAUAAGCCUGGGAAACUGGGUCUAAUACCGGAUAGGAGCCAUUUUUAGUGUGAUGGUUGGAAAGUUUUUUCGGUGUAGGAUGAGCUCGCGGCCUAUCAGCUUGUUGGUGGGGUAAUGGCCUACCAAGGCGGCGACGGGUAGCCGGCCUGAGAGGGUGGACGGCCACAUUGGGACUGAGAUACGGCCCAGACUCCUACGGGAGGCAGCAGUGGGGAAUAUUGCACAAUGGGCGCAA
RNAcentral lists this ribosomal RNA (350 nucleotides) under uncultured bacterium. RNAcentral's name for it is "bacterial SSU rRNA". It matches the Rfam family "Bacterial small subunit ribosomal RNA", at positions 28 to 380 of the family's 1533-position model. The record is from RNAcentral.